Molecule: ribosomal RNA, 460 nt
Filed under: uncultured bacterium
Lineage: Bacteria
Description: partial 16S ribosomal RNA
Rfam family: Bacterial small subunit ribosomal RNA
Source: RNAcentral
CCUACGGGAGGCAGCAGUGAGGAAUAUUGGUCAAUGGACGAGAGUCUGAACCAGCCAAGUAGCGUGAAGGAUGACUGCCCUAUGGGUUGUAAACUUCUUUUAUAUGGGAAUAAAAUGUUCCACGUGUGGGUGUUUGUAUGUACCAUACGAAUAAGGAUCGGCUAACUCCGUGCCAGUAGCCGCGGUAAUACGGAGGAUCCGAGCGUUAUCCGGAUUUAUUGGGUUUAAAGGGAGCGUAGGUGGAUUGUUAAGUCAGUUGUGAAAGUUUGCGGCUCAACCGUAGAAUUGCAUUUGAAACUGGCAGUCUUGAGUACAGUAGAGGUGGGCGGAAUGCGUGGUGUAGCGGUGAAAUGCUUAGAUAUCACGAAGAACUCCGAUUGCGAAGGCAGCUCACUGGACUGCAGCUGACACUGAGGCUCGAAAGUGUGGGUAUCAAACAGGAUUAGAUACCCUGGUAGUC